Molecule: transfer RNA, 69 nt
Filed under: Rattus norvegicus (Norway rat)
Lineage: Eukaryota; Metazoa; Chordata; Mammalia; Rodentia; Muridae
Rfam family: tRNA
About the family: Transfer RNA (tRNA) molecules are approximately 80 nucleotides in length.
Source: Rfam by way of RNAcentral
GGGGAUUUAGCUCAGCGGUAGAGUGCUUGCCUAGCAAGCACAAGGCCCUGGGUUCCAUCCCCAGCGCCG